Molecule: unclassified non-coding RNA, 216 nt
Filed under: fungal sp.
Lineage: Eukaryota; Fungi
Description: partial internal transcribed spacer region
Rfam family: Eukaryotic small subunit ribosomal RNA (bases 1-46)
Source: RNAcentral
AAGUCGUAACAAGGUAUCCGUAGGUGAACCUGCGGAUGGAUCAUUAUGGUAGGGUAUUAGAUGGGGAGAGCAGUAUACAAUGGGGGGUGUUUGGCGAGGCUGAGAGGCUAGAUCUUAGGGUUUGGCUCUUUGUCUCGCCUGCCCCAAUCAUAUACCAUACCACUUAAUCAUAUAUACAAAAAAUUACAACUUUCAGCAACGGAUCUCUUGGCUCUC